GACGAACGCUGGCGGCGUGCUUAACACAUGCAAGUCGAGCGGAAAGGCCACUUCUGUGGUACUCGAGCGGCUAACGGGUGGGUAACACGUGAGUAAUCUGCCCUUGGCUUUGGGAUAGCCACCGUAAACGGUGAUUAAUAACGGAUACGACCACUCCAGGCAUCUGGUGGUGGGGUAAAGUUUUUCGGCCAGGGAUGUGCUCGCGGCCUAUCAGCUUGAUGGUGGGGUAGUGGCUCACCAUGGCUUCGACGGGUAGCCGGCCUGAGAGGGUGACCGGUCACACUGGGACUGAGACACGGCCCAGACUCCUACGGGAGGCAGCAGUGGGGAAUAUUGGACAAUGGGCGGAAGCCUGAUGCAGCAACGCCGCGUGAGGGAUGACGGCCUUCGGGUUGUAAACCGCUUUCGGUAGGGACGAAGCGCGAGUGACGGUAACUAGUAAAGAAGCACCGGCCAACUACGUG
RNAcentral lists this ribosomal RNA (464 nucleotides) under uncultured bacterium. RNAcentral's name for it is "partial 16S ribosomal RNA". It matches the Rfam family "Bacterial small subunit ribosomal RNA", at positions 28 to 507 of the family's 1533-position model. The record is from RNAcentral.